UACGAAGGUGCGCUCAGCGUGGUCGGAAAUCACGCGUAGAGUAUAAAGGCAAAAGCGCGCUUAACUGCGAGACCCACAAGUCGAGCAGGUACGAAAGUAGGUCUUAGUGAUCCGGUGGUUCUGUAUGGAAGGGCCAUCGCUCAACGGAUAAAAGGUACUCUGGGGAUAACAGGCUGAUACCGCCCAAGAGUUCAUAUCGACGGCGGUGUUUGGCACCUCGAUGUCGGCUCAUCUCAUCCUGGGGCUGAAGCAGGUCCCAAGGGUAUGGCUGUUCGCCAUUUAAAGAGGUACGCGAGCUGGGUUUAGAACGUCGUGAGACAGUUCGGUCCCUAUCUACCGUGGGCGCUGGAAAUUUGAGAGGAUCUGCUCCUAGUACGAGAGGACCAGAGUGGACGAACCUCUGGUGUACCGGUUGUGACGCCAGUCGCAUCGCCGGGUAGCUAUGUUCGGAAGGGAUAACCGCUGAAAGCAUCUAAGCGGGAAGCCUACCUCAAGAUAAG
This 500-nucleotide ribosomal RNA is filed under the name Escherichia coli. Its description in RNAcentral is "partial 23S ribosomal RNA". It matches the Rfam family "Bacterial large subunit ribosomal RNA", at positions 2309 to 2808 of the family's 2925-position model. The record is from RNAcentral. Lineage: Bacteria; Pseudomonadati; Pseudomonadota; Gammaproteobacteria; Enterobacterales; Enterobacteriaceae.